This is a long non-coding RNA of Dermacentor andersoni, 639 nucleotides long. RefSeq lists it as uncharacterized. The record is from RefSeq and is a predicted model, not a curated record. NCBI's taxonomy places the organism in Eukaryota, Metazoa, Arthropoda, Arachnida, Ixodida, Ixodidae.
CCCCUAGCUUAAAAUGAGUACUCCCACGAGAAGAAGUAAAAUAAGCUAGAACCAUUAUUGUACCCCCGACCCCAUUUGAUGGGGCAUUGCGGUUGUAAAAUGGGGGUUUUCAAGGAAUAACGGUGGCGUAGGGGAAAUUGAGACGAGCCAAACAGAGAAAAGAAUAACUCAGCCAUGACCAACAAGGCAGUCAGCCGCAGCGACUAUUUCAGUAGGAUUAUUUCUGCAGUCAGAUUCGAAAUAUCCCGCGCAAUGUGUGUCGGCGCUGUUUUUCUGUUCGGAGUAGCCGCGCCUUGGUGCUGCAGAGGACGCCGAAGUCGGAACUACGCGCGGAGGAACACCAGCCUUCGGAGCGCGCGCGCGUGCGUUGAAAGCUGCGAUCGAGCAGCCAUUUGCCAGCGACGGCACAUUCUUCUACCGUGGUUGAUGUUUCUCACUGCUUUGAACCCCCAAGACUCCACGGACUGCGGCUGCGGUCGUUUCAUUGCCAACUGUGAGGAUGAAGCAGCUUCAUGGCCGGAGAUCGGGUGCCUCCCAUCAGUUUCCCUUUUCAGCAAUAGAGGCCUUGGAGGCCUUUCUACCUGCGUUGCAUCCUGUGGCUGGACCACUCCAACGAUCUCGGCGGAAUCGUUGCACAGG